RNAcentral lists this long non-coding RNA (1100 nucleotides) under Bos taurus (domestic cattle). RNAcentral's name for it is "long non-coding RNA NONBTAT025591". Lineage: Eukaryota; Metazoa; Chordata; Mammalia; Artiodactyla; Bovidae. The record is from RNAcentral.
GGCUAUUCAAAAUUAUUUAAUUACAAGGCUAGAUAACUAGAAAAGAAUUUUCCAUUCAAAAUAGUUAGAAAGUAAUACACUGAUUAACAGGUUAUGAUUCUACAGCAGUGUCAUGGUCAAACAGAAAUGCCUUGACUCUUAUGGAUGCAUUAUCUAGACUCGAUGCUGGUUCAGAAUCUAUUUACAAACCAAUGUAAAAAUGUAAUUCAUCUUGAACUUUCUUCCCACAUCCAUUGGAGGUUUUCCCAAUCACCAGAUUUUCAUAAGACAGACAAGUAAAUCUCGCAGCACUAGCCCUAGGAAAGGAAAAACAUUUACGGUUUACAAACUAUCAACAUCAGAAAACUUACUUAAAACAAUUUUCAAAAAAUGCUGCUGUCCUUAUAAUGGUCCACCUCAGAAGCCAGAUCCGUAUAAGUUUUUUCAACAGAAAUUCAGGUUCGGGAUAGGAUCAUCAUAGGUAAGACCAAGGACACAAUGUUUACUGAUUUUGAAGCAAAACAUCUCUACUCACAGAAAUGUUUCCACCUUCAAAAUGUCACAGCACACCAGGCAGACAGCAGGCAGACAGCAACCCCUCACUGUUGGCACAGAAAACCCCACUCUGUGAAUUAAGUUUUUCCUCUAUGAGACAUAACCUAACAGAAAUCUGUUAUAAAACUUGUUCUCAUAUCUGAACAUUAGUCUUGUCUCAGAAGCCGAAUCCGUACAUGCUUUUCUUCAGGUUAUCAGCUUCGGGAUAGGGUUCAUCAUUGAUCAGACCAAAAUCCAUUAUGCUACAUUACACGGACAUUUACCACAAACCAGACAGAAUUACUGCAGCAGAUGUAAGUCAGGGUAACUUACUUUAAAAUGAAGCUGCUCAGUGACAUCCACAGCUUCAUUAGUAUUCAUCAACCUGCAGAAUGCUGGUAAGAUCAUCAGGUUUUAACCAAGUCAUUUUCCAGCCAAUAUUGUCCGGCGUGUUUUGAAAUGUACCUUUGCAUCUUAGCAUCUCCACGUAACAGUUCCGCUACACCGAAAUCCAUUGUUUCUGCGGGAGAAUCAAUUUCUUAACCUAGCAGCUAUGAUCUGCUCCCAAGUUCCGACGUAAAAGACCG